Molecule: long non-coding RNA, 1331 nt
Filed under: Homo sapiens (human)
Lineage: Eukaryota; Metazoa; Chordata; Mammalia; Primates; Hominidae
Description: PREDICTED lncRNA (TCONS_00237402)
Source: RNAcentral
CUGACAGCUGUCAACUGUCCAUGUGCCAAAUGUAACCCAGUAAAGAUAAAAAUUACAUAUUACUCAUCCCUGUUGAUAAUACCUGGUGCCAGUAGGUUUUCAAAUAGGAAUAACUAGACUAUAGAUAAAAAACAAGUAAGUGGGGAAUCAUUUCUACUACCUACCAUUCCUCCUUUGUCAUUAACUCAUUUCCCUUUCUUUUUCUUAUUGAUCCCUUUUCCCUUGCUGUCCAUAUCUACAGAGUUAUUUUCCUUAAAGGAACUUUCAGAAUAUGUUACAAGUCUGUGUCCAUGAAAAUACUGGGCAGCCAGGUAUUGAUGACCACACAUUUCUUUUAGUCAUAUUUUCUUUUGAGCUCAUAAACUAUUUCGGAGUUAUGGGAAGAAAGCUUUAAAGCUUUCAGCUUCUCAUUCUCAAAGAAAAUGAAAUCAAAGAACAAAAAUGAAAUUUACCAAAGGUCACCAAGGUGGUGACCUUUAUGUAGAUACAGACUUGGGUCUGUUUCCCAACUUAAUAUCCAGGGAUUUUUUUUCUAAUUAGACUUUAAGCAUGUUGACUAGUAAACUAUAAGUAACAAUGAUCACGUGGAAGUUGUUUAAUGAGUUGUUUCCAGGGAAGGCACUAGUGGCUCAUUUUUUCAGUCUACCCGAGGUCCCUGUACUUGAAUGUUUGAGAAGCACUUUGUUUCUUUUAAAGAUUUAUUUUACUUGGAUUUUAAUUUUUAUCUUUAUUUUUAGAGAAAACAUCUUGCUCUGUUGCUCAGGCUGGAGCGCAAUGGUGCCAUCGUAGCUUACUGUAACCUUGAACGUCUGUGCUCAAGCAAUCUUCCUGCCUCAGCCUCCUGAGUAGCUGGGACUACAGAGACAGGGUCUUGUUCUAUUGUCCAAGCUGGUCUUGAAUUCCUGACCUCAAGCAAUCCUCCUGCCUCUGCCUCCCAAAGCACUGGGAUUAUUACAGGUAUGAGCCACCGCACUGGGCCGUCAUGCUUACUCUUCGGAGAGAGAAGUGAAGUAUCUGAACGCCUCAGCCUGAGAAUGGGUCAUUUGCAAAGUAAAUAAAGGCAAUGCCAAACGUCAGUACAACAAGCAAUUGAACAGAAUGAUUGCAAACUGCUAAUGAAGGAGAAGGCAAGGUGCGGUUAGGAUGAACUGUAGAAGGACCCGUCCCCUAGAGCUCAUUGAGCAUCCACCCUGCUGUCCGGCUGUCCUCUCCAUAGGGGGCUCGAUGGUCUUUGCCGACUUGAGGAAAUAGGUCACUGUAUUGCAGCAGAUCCUUGGUCGUGGGGCUGGGUUGGUCAUUGCCACUAUUUUAUGGGAUGGGGAAUUUGGAAG